UGGGGAAUUUUGGACAAUGGGGGCAACCCUGAUCCAGCCAUGCCGCGUGCGGGAAGAAGGCCUUCGGGUUGUAAACCGCUUUCAGACGGAAAGAAACAGUACAAGCUAAUACCUUGUACGAAUGACGGUACCGUCAGAAGAAGCACCGGCUAACUACGUGCCAGCAGCCGCGGUAAUACGUAGGGUGCGAGCGUUAAUCGGAAUUACUGGGCGUAAAGAGUGCGCAGGCGGCUCUCUAAGACAGGUGUGAAAUCCCCGGGCUUAACCUGGGAAUGGCGCUUGUGACUGGAGAGCUAGAGUGUGGCAGAGGGGAAUGGAAUUCCUGGUGUAGCAGUGAAAUGCGUAGAUAUCAGGAGGAACACCGAUGGCGAAGGCAGUUCCCUGGGCCAACACUGACGCUCAUGCACGAAAGCGUGGGGAGCAAACAGGAUUAGAUACCCUGGUAGUCCACGCCCUAAACGAUGUCAACUAGUUGUUGGGGAAGGAGACUUCUUUAGUAACGUAGCUAACGCGUGAAGUGACCGCCUGGG
This 530-nucleotide ribosomal RNA is filed under the name uncultured beta proteobacterium. RNAcentral describes it as "bacterial SSU rRNA". It matches the Rfam family "Bacterial small subunit ribosomal RNA", at positions 355 to 877 of the family's 1533-position model. Lineage: Bacteria; Pseudomonadati; Pseudomonadota; Betaproteobacteria. The record is from RNAcentral.